RNAcentral lists this ribosomal RNA (512 nucleotides) under Sungouiella intermedia. Its description in RNAcentral is "LSU rRNA". It matches the Rfam family "Eukaryotic large subunit ribosomal RNA", at positions 74 to 654 of the family's 3401-position model. The record is from RNAcentral. Lineage: Eukaryota; Fungi; Ascomycota; Pichiomycetes; Serinales; Metschnikowiaceae.
AUUGCCUCAGUACGGCGAGUGAAGCGGCAAAAGCUCAAAUUUGAAAUCCUUCGGGAGUUGUAAUUUGUAGGUUGGGAGACCCCGCGGCUAGUGGCACCAAGUCCCUUGGAACAGGGCGCCUUAGAGGGUGAGAGCCCCGUAGGUACCACAACACCGUCUUGUGUCUCCUCUCCAAAGAGUCGAGUUGUUUGGGAAUGCAGCUCAAAGUGGGUGGUAAAUUCCAUCUAAAGCUAAAUACCGGCGAGAGACCGAUAGCGAACAAGUACAGUGAUGGAAAGAUGAAAAGCACUUUGAAAAGAGAGUGAAACAGUACGUGAAAUUGUUGAAAGGGAAGGGCUUGCAAGCAGACACGGCCUUCGUGCCGGGCCAGCAUCGGUUGCUAGGGGUGGAUAAGGAACAAGGAAUGUAGCUCCUCGGAGUAUUAUAGCCUUGCGCGAUACACCCACUGGCGACCGAGGCCUGCGGUAUUCUUUACCUAGGAUGCUGGCGUAAUGGUUGCAAGCCGCCCGCUG